This 844-nucleotide long non-coding RNA is filed under the name Homo sapiens (human). Its description in RNAcentral is "HSALNT0320516". Lineage: Eukaryota; Metazoa; Chordata; Mammalia; Primates; Hominidae. The record is from RNAcentral.
AGAACUGCUUCUUGCUGCCGCCAUAUGAAGAAGGACGUGUUCGCUUCCCCUUCCUCCAUGAUUGUAAGUUUCCUGAGACCUCGCCAGCCAUGCUGAACUAGUGAACAGGAAACCUACAGAAUAGGAGAAAAUUUUUGCAAUCUACUCAUCUGACAAAAGGCUAAUAUCCAGAAUCUACAAAGAACUCAAACAAAUUUACAAGCACAAAACGAACAACCCCAUCAACAAGUGGGCAAAGGACAUGAACAGACACUUCUCAAAAGAAGACAUUUAUGCAGCCAACAGACACAUGAAAAAAUGCUCAUCAUCACUGCCCAGCUAAAUCUUGACUUCUAUUGAAGAAGUGAAGGAUGGAUUUUGUAAGCCUACCAGCAGCCAAAGGAGACUAAGAGGAGUCAUUCAGGAAUAUGAGGGUUAUGAAGACAGUGGUGUCCCAGAAACCAAGGAGAAGAGGAUGUUGCAUGAAGAAGGAGAUGAUGGUUUCACUUUGGUUACAUUUAUCCAAAUGCCCCGUCCAACUCUUCAGUGUCCCUAGUAAAAUCUGGUAUAGAGAUGGACACUGUUUUUUAGGUGAGGCCUGCUGAGUGUGGAGAGUUGUGAAAAAUUUUUCCCUUAAAUUGAGAAUGUUUUAAAUAAUGCAGCCUAUGUUUUCUUUAAGUAACAAGGCCAUCCCACUGACUCACACUGAUCUUGUUCUCAGCAAAAAACUCCCUGCUCUUCCUCAUAUUAAUUGCCAUAAAAACAAGUCACUUCUAUCAUGCAUUUGGCUCAUUGAGUUAUGAAAAUAUGUAGGUAUUUCGUUUCUUUUUAUGUAAAUUUAUGCUGGUUUUAGUCCAUCAUUUGA